RNAcentral lists this long non-coding RNA (387 nucleotides) under Fukomys damarensis (Damara mole-rat). RNAcentral describes it as "lncRNA (ENSFDAG00000032592.1)". The record is from RNAcentral. Lineage: Eukaryota; Metazoa; Chordata; Mammalia; Rodentia; Bathyergidae.
AUGCAAGCUGCUCAACGACACACCGCUGGGAGCCUUGCAGGCCCCUGCUGGACCAGGCUGACCCAGGCCUUUGGAGGAAGCCAACCACAAAGGCUGGGGCCUCAGCCUUGUGCCACCUUGACCCUCAAGCCUGCUGCUUCCCUGAGAAGAGAAAGAGGCUUUCUGGGCCUCGUAGUCUUCCUCUUCCUCCAUUCCCAGCCCACGCGUCAUCACCCUACAGCUACCAGCCCUCACCUCUGCCUGUGGGAUUACAGAAACCAAAGGACACAGAAUAGAAGAGAGUGUUCAGGACGUAAAGCUGAGUGACCUGCUGGGCUCCUGCUUCCUCUUCUGUCAGAUGGCAUAGUACCUUCCUUACCUCCUAAGACUGCAAGAAUAAAAUCAGAC